This 1491-nucleotide ribosomal RNA is filed under the name uncultured bacterium. RNAcentral's name for it is "bacterial SSU rRNA". It matches the Rfam family "Bacterial small subunit ribosomal RNA". The record is from RNAcentral.
ACCUAGGGAUGCGCAGCUAUAAUGCAGUCGAGCGAUGGAUUAAGAGCUUGCUCUUAUGAAGUUAGCGGCGGACGGGUGAGUAACACGUGGGUAACCUGCCCAUAAGACUGGGAUAACUCCGGGAAACCGGGGCUAAUACCGGAUAACAUUUUGAACCGCAUGGUUCGAAAUUGAAAGGCGGCUUCGGCUGUCACUUAUGGAUGGACCCGCGUCGCAUUAGCUAGUUGGUGAGGUAACGGCUCACCAAGGCAACGAUGCGUAGCCGACCUGAGAGGGUGAUCGGCCACACUGGGACUGAGACACGGCCCAGACUCCUACGGGAGGCAGCAGUAGGGAAUCUUCCGCAAUGGACGAAAGUCUGACGGAGCAACGCCGCGUGAGUGAUGAAGGCUUUCGGGUCGUAAAACUCUGUUGUUAGGGAAGAACAAGUGCUAGUUGAAUAAGCUGGCACCUUGACGGUACCUAACCAGAAAGCCACGGCUAACUACGUGCCAGCAGCCGCGGUAAUACGUAGGUGGCAAGCGUUAUCCGGAAUUAUUGGGCGUAAAGCGCGCGCAGGUGGUUUCUUAAGUCUGAUGUGAAAGCCCACGGCUCAACCGUGGAGGGUCAUUGGAAACUGGGAGACUUGAGUGCAGAAGAGGAAAGUGGAAUUCCAUGUGUAGCGGUGAAAUGCGUAGAGAUAUGGAGGAACACCAGUGGCGAAGGCGACUUUCUGGUCUGUAACUGACACUGAGGCGCGAAAGCGUUGGUUAGCAAACAUGGAUUAGAUACCCCUGGUAGUCCAACGCCGUCAAACGAUGAAUCGCUAAAUUGUUAAAACGGGUUUCCCCCCCCUUUAAGUGCUUGAAGUUUAACCGCAUUUAAGCUUCUCCCACCUUGGAAGGCCGCAAGGGCUGAAAUCAAAGGAAAUGGCGGGGGGCCGCCCCAACGGUUGGACCAGGUGUUUAAUUUGAAACAACCCGAAGAACCUUUCCAGGUUCUGACCUUCUUUGGCCAACCUAGAGAUAGGGCUUUUCCUUUGGGAACCGAAUGACCGGUGGUGCCAGGUUGUUGUCAACUUGGGUUGUGAGAAGGUGGGUUAAAUCCCGCCACGAGCGCCACCCUUGAUUUUAGUUGCCCUCCAUUAAUUGGGCCCUUUAAGGUGGCCGCCGGUGGCCAACCGGAGGAAGGGGGGGAAGGCGUCAAAUCCUCCUGCCCCUUAUGACCUGGGGUACCCCCGUGGUUCCAUGGGCGGUACAAAGAGGUGCCAGGCCCCGAGGGGGAACUUAUUUUAUAAAACCGUUUUCCGUUUGGGUUGUUGGGUGCAACUUGCCUACCAGGAACCGGGAUUGGUUGGUAUUGCGGAUCAACCAGCCGCGGGGAAUUCGUUUCCGGGCCUUGGUCCCCCCCCCCGUCCCCCCCCGAGAGUUUGGUACCCCCGAAGUUGGGGGGGUAAGGGUGGACCCAGCCGCCUAAGGUGGGCCAGAUGAUUGGGGUGAAGUCGAACAAUGA